AUUGAACGCUGGCGGCAGGCUUAACACAUGCAAGUCGAGCGGGGUGAUGGUGCUUGCACUAUCACUUAGCGGCGGACGGGUGAGUAAUGCUUAGGAAUCUGCCUAUUAGUGGGGGACAACAUCUCGAAAGGGAUGCUAAUACCGCAUACGUCCUACGGGAGAAAGCAGGGGAUCACUUGUGACCUUGCGCUAAUAGAUGAGCCUAAGUCGGAUUAGCUAGUUGGUGGGGUAAAGGCCUACCAAGGCGACGAUCUGUAGCGGGUCUGAGAGGAUGAUCCGCCACACUGGGACUGAGGAACUGCCCAGACUCCUACGGGAGGAAGCAGUGGAGAAUAUUGGACAAUGGGGGGAUCCCUGAUCCAGCCAUGCCGGGUGUGUGAAGAAGGCCUUAUGGUUGUAAAGCACUUUAAGCGAGGAGGAGGCUCUUUUGGUAAAUACCCAAGAUGAGUGGACGUUACUCGCAGAAUAAGCACCGGCUAACUCUGUGCCAGCAGCCGCCGUAA
This 503-nucleotide ribosomal RNA is filed under the name uncultured bacterium. RNAcentral's name for it is "partial 16S ribosomal RNA". It matches the Rfam family "Bacterial small subunit ribosomal RNA", at positions 30 to 523 of the family's 1533-position model. The record is from RNAcentral.